CGUCACCGGCUUGACUAGGAAGGUCAAUUGUGGCUGCCGGCGCGCCCACGCCUACUUUAUGCGCGGGGUCGCCGGCGCAUGCGAGGAAUAGUCUCGGCUGCGCGAUACUACGCCGUCGGGAGGUCCGUGUGUCCGGCUCCUUGGUGGUGGCAGACAUGCUGUGCCGGCUCAGCCUUCGGUGGCUGCGGCCGCUGCCUGCCCUGCGGCUCGGGGCCCUGGGCCCGCAGCUCGCGCCCGUCCUAACGGGCGGCAUGAGGCGCUCCGCUCUGCCAGUGUGGGCAGCCUCGUCAGUCUCUGCAGUUGCCCCGGGUGGCGCGGGAGGCUGGUACGAGGCCCUGGCUACGUCGGCUCCGGUACAGGGCGCGGAGGCGCUGCUGCUCUGCGCGCACACCGCCACGGGCCUGCCCUGGUGGGGCAGCAUUCUCCUCACCACCAUGGCCCUGCGCGGCGCCGUCACGCUGCCCCUGGCCGCCUACCAGCACUACAUCCUGGCCAAGGUGGAAAAUUUGCAGCCAGAAAUAAAAAACAUUGCAAGGCAUCUUAACCAAGAAGUUGCAGUUCGCGCAAAUCAGUUGGGGUGGUCCAAAAGAGUUGCCAGGCUUACUUAUCUAAAGAUUCUGCGGAGGCUUGUUUCAGAGCUGUAUAUUCGGGAUAACUGCCACCCUUUCAAAGCCACUGUAUUGGUCUGGAUCCAGAUUCCAAUGUGGAUCUUCAUGUCUGUUGCUCUCCGGAAUUUUAGCACAGGGGCAGCACAUUCAGAAGCAGGUUUUUCUGUUCAGGAGCAGUUAGCUACUGGUGGGGUCCUGUGGUUUCCUGACCUCACUGCCCUGGAUUCCACUUGGAUUCUGCCUGUCUCCGUGGGUGUCAUCAAUUUAUUAAUAGUGGAGAUGUUUGCUCUGCAGAAAAUUGGAAUGUCUCGUUUUCAGACAUAUAUUACAUACUUUGUUCGGGCGGUAUCAGUGUUGAUGAUUCCAAUUGCAGCCACAGUACCUUCAUCGAUUGCUCUGUACUGGUUAUGCUCCAGCUUCAUGGGCCUUUCACAGAACUUGCUGCUGCGUUCCCCUCGAUUUCGCCAACUUUGCCGAAUACCGUUAACCAAGUCAGAUUCACACACUCCUUAUAAGGACCUCUUUGCUGCCUUGCAUGCCAAGUUCAGUUCAAGAAAAUGACAUACUUUCUAGUAAUUUUGGAACAAUGACAGUGUAUUCAUUCUUAAUGUAUUUAGAACAUCGAGAAAUUCAGAUAUGAUUUAAUUUGCUUUUGUUUAAAAUCAUGAGCCCUGUGAAGUACUGUGGAUUAAGAUAUAUUUGGACACUUAAAAUCUUUUAAGUGCUAAAAAUGUAUGUUUAAUUAUAUACUAAGAAUAUAAGAGGGGAAUCAAAGUGUUGGGCCCUGUUUAUAAAAUUACAACUUAUUAGAGGUGCCAGAACCUUGGAGAACAAGACUAGAAAAGUUUUACAAAAUAAGAGCAUCCAAUGAGGUGAUUCUUAAAAUUUUGGAGGUGUGGAAGAUCAUAUACCUGCUUGAGUAUUUGAUAAAGCCAUGGUUUUCUCUUGAGAAAAGUCCUGGAACUCGCAUCAUGGAGACCUUUAUUGACCCCCUGAAGGCCUUCUGCCCCGGAAGGCCACAGCCUUUAAGAGCUUCGAACUGUCAGCUGCUGGAAUCCCAACAAACAAACAACUGAACCAAACUUCAUUAGGUAAGGACUAACACAGCUACAGAGAGGGAGCAGUUAAUUCCAUGGCUCUUGAAAGUACUACCUUGACUGCAGUCAUUUGUGGAAUACAGUCUAAAAGCAAAAAGGACUAUUAGAAAUCUUAGAACUUUAUUUGGUAAUUGUAUUGCUGCUCUAUACCUCUUACUGUGAAGUAAAAUGUAUAGUGAUGUUUACUGGUAUGUUAGUUUUCCGUGGUUGCUGUAAUAAAUUCUUCAUGCUGCUUAUGCACCAAGAGGAAGAUACUACUGAAUAAAUUAGUUGGAGAUAUUAUGAGAUAUAUCUCUUUCAAAUUUUUCCUUUAAAGCAUAGGUUUAGGGGUUGCCCCUGAGAAAAAAAUUUGUCCCGAAGAAGAGGGUCUUCCCCACAAUUCUCUACCCCUACAUCAGAAAGCCUAACCUCCAUGUCUGUUUCACCUAAGACCUUCCACAAUCUUGAUUAAGAAUUGAUGAAAGUAAAUUCAUAAUUAUGACAAGAUGAGGAAGAUUUAAACAUACAAGUUGUUUUUGCUCCUUUGGGCCUCACCUCCUUAGGAGAUAACAUUCCUUAAUCUCAUCAAGGAACACAACUCUUUAGCGGGUAGCCUUCCUCCUUAAUCUUGUGAAGGGACAGGAUAACCCAUGACUCACUUGGUACCUAUACGUCUGAACUGUGUAAACUAUCAGUAAUAAGUCAUUUGACAUAAUCCUUUGUCUCAAAAACAUAUAACUGCUUUGACCUCUAAUGGCAGGAUAGUAAUCAAGAGCUUUCGGAAAGACUGUCUCCCAGAUUAUAAUUAUCAGGUUGACUUGAAUAAAAUUUUCCAUUUUUCUCUUAGAUAGACCAUUGAUUAAUUUUUUGUCAACAGAGCUGUAUACAAAAACAUUUUGAUCCUGGUUGAUUCCCAUCCAUAGAAAUGAUAAGGCCUGCAGAUACCACAAGAAAAGGAAAAACAACAACAAUAACAAAAAACCAAGAAAGCACUUUCACACAGAAACCUCUCCUAGUUCUUAGAACAGGAACUUUUUGCUUUGCUGUAACUUGAACAUGAGGGAGGUGCUGAUAUAACUGUCCCAAAGGAAUAGGUAACAAGCCCUGUUGCCUUGUAUUCUACCACCGACUGUCUUCUUGACUGCCAAGUUUUUAGGUAAGUUUUCUAAGAUAGCCUUACCUUUAAUUGCCUAGGCCUGUGCUGCUGAUUUUGUACUAUAAAAUACUUUCGGGUGUUUGGGAACAAAAGCAUGGUUGAAAGUCCUUAAAGUGCUUCAAGAAAGCAGCCACUCUUAUUCAUUUAUUCUAUCUAAGGCAACAAAAAAGAAAAUGCUAUCCUUGAAGGUCUCUGCUAGACUCCAGAGGGCCAAGAAUUUCAUGAAAAAGAAGCCUCUAGGGAAAAUGCCUAAUUUCUGUCUUUUCCAUUUUGAGAAAAUUUCACGAGGAAUGCUUCCCUUCCUUUGGAUCCCUGAUAAGCCAGUUACAUUUAUUUGUCCUUCGUUGAUAAAGCAGCAUUAUAUUUAAUUUAGCUUUGGUUUUUGUCUUAUGGCUAAAUUGUAGCUCUUCAGGGAAACUUAAAACUGAAAUAUGAAACAUAUCUAACGGUAUCCAUUUCAUUGCAGCUGCAUUUCUGUGUGUUCCAAGGGUAGUACAACUAAUAAUUUGAGGACUUUCUUCUAAUUAUAACCUCAAGCCUCCUGUAUCCUCUGUGAGUGAUGGAUGCUUCUGAGGGUAAGGAGUAUUAAAAAUAUGAAUUCUAUAUUUAUGAGAGAGUUAACAGCUUAUUCCAUACUAUUCAAAAUGUAUCGUGUCUUUUUGUGAAGUUUUAUUACAGAAUCUUCGGUUUUGCUUAUAUAAAUUUUCAAAUACAAAUGUUUCAUUUUGGGAUCCAAAUAAAAACUGCAAGUUUACAUUCAAAAUUACUGUUAGAACCAAGUAGAGAUUUUGAAAUGAGAUAUCUUCUCCCUCAUCUUUAACUCGCACCUAUGUAUGUGAUAAGGUCUUAUUUCACUUUAAAAUACAGCUGGUCCUCAUUAUGCGUAGUUUAAUAUUUAUGAAGUCACCUACUCACUAAAAUUUAUUUGUAAGAUGCUCACAAUGCUUUUGCAGUUAUUAGCAGACUUGUGCCUUCAAACUCAGAGCAGAAAAAAGUUUGAGCCCACCCAGUGUACACAUUCCCAGCAGGGAUCAAACAAAGUGACGCUGCCUUUUUGUUUCAGCUCUCAUACUGUAAGGACAUUGUGUUUAUGUGUCCUUCUUGUGGUCUGUUUAGUGCCAUGUUUUUCUCAUUUUUAUAGUUUUUUAAGAUGGCCUCUGAGCACUAAGUGGAAGAAGUCUGUGAUGUCCUCACAGAGGAAGUAUGUGUGUGAGACUUUUUCUGUAGCAUGAACGUAACUAGCUCACAGAUGGAGUCUGUUUGCAGUAUCAGCACCAAUGGAUUUAUUUCUGUGUCCUUUCUGCAUUGUUGAGAUGAUUCAGACAUGUGCGUGAACCAUCCAACAGCGGCUCCUCCAGCCCCAGUCAGGCCUUCAGGUGAGGCUGCAGCGUCUGCCAACAUCAUAACUGCAGAUCUAUGAGAGACUCUCCUCUAGACCCACCCAGGUAAUCCCUUAUGAAUUCCUGACUCUGAGCAGAAACUGAAUAAAACUUACUGUUUAAACCGCUUAAGUUUCAGAGUAAUAUUUAAUGCAUAAAUGGAUACCUAAUACAACUACAUUAAAUUAAAAACUUUUAAAGGAAUAAAACUCACUUGCAGCCCCUUUAA
This is an RNA transcript of Camelus dromedarius (Arabian camel), 4448 nucleotides long. It is a transcript of the gene named cytochrome c oxidase assembly protein COX18, mitochondrial, with no coding region annotated. Lineage: Eukaryota; Metazoa; Chordata; Mammalia; Artiodactyla; Camelidae. The transcript has 9 exons. The record is from RefSeq and is a predicted model, not a curated record.